This 253-nucleotide ribosomal RNA is filed under the name uncultured bacterium. Its description in RNAcentral is "partial 16S ribosomal RNA". It matches the Rfam family "Bacterial small subunit ribosomal RNA", at positions 524 to 776 of the family's 1533-position model. The record is from RNAcentral.
GACAGAGGGUGCAAACGUUGUUCGGAAUCACUGGGCGUAAAGCGCGUGUAGGCUGCUGCGCAAGUCGGAUGUGAAAUCCCACGGCUCAACCAUGGAAGUGCAUUCGAAACUGCGUAGCUAGAGUUUUGGAGAGGAAGGCGGAAUACUCGGUGUAGAGGUGAAAUUCGUAGAUAUCGAGUGGAACACCGGUGGCGAAGGCGGCCUUCUGGACAAUGACUGACGCUGAAACGCGAAAGCGUGGGGAGCAAACAGG